Molecule: ribosomal RNA, 422 nt
Filed under: uncultured bacterium
Lineage: Bacteria
Description: bacterial SSU rRNA
Rfam family: Bacterial small subunit ribosomal RNA
Source: RNAcentral
UGAGGAAUAUUGGUCAAUGGGGGCAACCCUGAACCAGCCAAGUCGCGUGAAGGAUGAAGGUCUUAUGGAUUGUAAACUUCUUUUACACGGGAAUAAAGCGGGGGACGUGUCCCUCUUUGCAUGUACCGUGUGAAUAAGGAUCGGCUAACUCCGUGCCAGCAGCCGCGGUAAUACGGAGGAUCCGAGCGUUAUCCGGAUUUAUUGGGUUUAAAGGGUGCGCAGGCGGGAUGUUAAGUCGGCGGUGAAAUUUUGCAGCUCAACUGUAAAAGUGCCUUCGAUACUGGCCUCCUUGAGUGUGGAUGAAGUAGGCGGAAUUUGUGGUGUAGCGGUGAAAUGCUUAGAUAUCACGAGGAACUCCGAUUGCGCAGGCAGCUUACUAAGCCACAACUGACGCUCAUGCACGAAGGCGUGGGGAUCAAACA